AGUGAACGCUGGCGGUAGGCCUAACACAUGCAAGUCGAACGGCAGCACAGUAAGAGCUUGCUCUUACGGGUGGCGAGUGGCGGACGGGUGAGGAAUACAUCGGAAUCUACUUUUUCGUGGGGGAUAACGUAGGGAAACUUACGCUAAUACCGCAUACGACCUACGGGUGAAAGCAGGGGAUCUUCGGACCUUGCGCGAUUGAAUGAGCCGAUGUCGGAUUAGCUAGUUGGCGGGGUAAAGGCCCACCAAGGCGACGAUCCGUAGCUGGUCUGAGAGGAUGAUCAGCCACAAUGGAACUGAGACACGGUCCAGACUCCUACGGGAGGCAGAAGUGGGGAAUAUUGGACAAUGGGCGCAAGCCUGAUCCAGCCAUACCGCGUGGGUGAAGAAGGCCUUCGGGUGGUAAAGCCCUUUUGUUGGGAAAGAAAAGCAGCAGGUUAAUACCCCGCUGUUCUGACGGUACCCAAAGAAUAAGCACCGGCUAACUUCG
RNAcentral lists this ribosomal RNA (490 nucleotides) under uncultured bacterium. RNAcentral describes it as "partial 16S ribosomal RNA". It matches the Rfam family "Bacterial small subunit ribosomal RNA", at positions 29 to 505 of the family's 1533-position model. The record is from RNAcentral.